This 253-nucleotide ribosomal RNA is filed under the name uncultured bacterium. RNAcentral describes it as "partial 16S ribosomal RNA". It matches the Rfam family "Bacterial small subunit ribosomal RNA", at positions 524 to 776 of the family's 1533-position model. The record is from RNAcentral.
UACGAAGGGGGCUAGCGUUGUUCGGAUUUACUGGGCGUAAAGCGCACGUAGGCGGAUCGUUAAGUCGGGGGUGAAAUCCUGGAGCUCAACUCCAGAACUGCCUUCGAUACUGGCGAUCUUGAGUCCGGAAGAGGUGAGUGGAACUCCUAGUGUAGAGGUGGAAUUCGUAGAUAUUAGGAAGAACACCGGUGGCGAAGGCGGCCAUCUGGACCGCAACUGACGCUGAGGCGCGAAAGCGUGGGGAGCAAACAGG